Capsicum annuum is the source of this 103-nucleotide non-coding RNA. The record is from Rfam. Lineage: Eukaryota; Viridiplantae; Streptophyta; Magnoliopsida; Solanales; Solanaceae.
GUCCCUUCGGAGGCGUUCGAUAAAAUUGGAACGAUACAGAGAAGAUCAGCAUGACCCUCGCACAAGGAUGACACACACAAAUCGAGAAACGGUCCAAUACUUA